GACGGGAGCGGUGGCGUGUACCUGUAGUCCCAGCUACUCGGGAGGCUCAGGCUGGAGGAUCUCUUGAGCCCAGGAGUUCUGGGCUGUAGUGCGCUAUGCCAAUCGGGGGUCCACAUGAAGUCUGGCAUCAAUAUGGUGACCUCCCGGGAGUCGGGGACCACCAGGUUGCCUAAGGAGGGGUGAACCAGCCCAGGUUGAAAACGGAUCAGGUCAAAACUCCCCUGCUGAUCAGUAGUGACAUCCUGCCUGUGAAUAGCCACUGCACUCCAGCCUGGGCAACAUAGUGAGACCCCGUCUCU
This 299-nucleotide signal recognition particle RNA is filed under the name Cebus imitator (Panamanian white-faced capuchin). Its description in RNAcentral is "Metazoan signal recognition particle RNA (ENSCCAG00000005425.1)". It matches the Rfam family "Metazoan signal recognition particle RNA". From Rfam's summary of the family: The signal recognition particle (SRP) is a universally conserved ribonucleoprotein. It is involved in the co-translational targeting of proteins to membranes. The eukaryotic SRP consists of a 300-nucleotide 7S RNA and six proteins: SRPs 72, 68, 54, 19, 14, and 9. Lineage: Eukaryota; Metazoa; Chordata; Mammalia; Primates; Cebidae. The record is from RNAcentral.